UUUGUGAAGGAACCUCUCUAAACAUGACGACGGGAGUUAGAUGUUAGAUGUAGAGAAGCAUGUUCAUUAUGCGGGUGAUGCUUAGCCUGUUUCCUCUGGUUCUUGUGGUCUGGAAUGGUGAGGAACCAGAAGGACUUGAAGAAGGUGAUGAAAGAUAAGGCUGAGCUGAACCUCACAAGUGAAGAACUAGCUGACCCUGAUUUUCUGGGAGAGAAGUCUGUUUUUGACCAACCCCUCGAGAUAAAUCUCCUUGCUAGCUCUUCUUCUGGAAGACCUUCUCCUCGUGUUAGAACUGGAAAACAGAACAGACACAAAUGAGUCUGCUGAAAUCUACAGUCCUGCUUUUGCAGUUUAAUACACUGUAUUAAAAUCACUGUGUAUGCAUUGGC
This is a long non-coding RNA of Carassius carassius (crucian carp), 389 nucleotides long. RefSeq lists it as uncharacterized. The transcript is spliced from 2 exons. NCBI's taxonomy places the organism in Eukaryota, Metazoa, Chordata, Actinopteri, Cypriniformes, Cyprinidae. The record is from RefSeq and is a predicted model, not a curated record.